CUUUUCAUAAGGUGGCAAAUACCCCAUUGUGGGGUAGCUGGUCCAUACAAAAUCCCCAUGGUGGGGCUGUGAGAAUAGUGCAAAUGCCCUGUAUUAAAAGCUAAAGCUCAAUACUUGUCAUUCUUUCGUUCCUCGCUUCAGCUUAUGUAGCAGCAUCGCUGUGUACGCAUGACCGCUAAUGCGAAAAAGUAUCUUCUUUUAAUUGGUAUUAAAAUCUUGUUAUAGUUUGAUUAUGACUGUUAUUCAUGUGUAAUCAACUUUUUUUUAUCUAAAGCGUGUUGAAAUUGAUUGAUUUCAGACAUGGUCAAAAGUAGUGCACACCAAUCUCCACAACUUAGACAGAGAUAAACUCGCAAAGACAAUAUACUUUUGCAGAGAAAACUCAUUGAAAGAAGGCUUAUCCCUGUUUGCUUUAUAUAUUAAGCUUAUAAGGUUACAUAUGAUUGCCAUACGCGUCCAUCGUGUUCGCCAUCACUUCUCAACUUGAUUUAGUAGGGCACAAGCUAGUUUCCAGUGGGCUAAAUGUCAGAUAAAGAAUUUACAAUUACGUUCUUGACAUAGGGUUAAUCGCUUUGAUGUUUACUAAAGUACUUAGGCUUAAGCACUGAUGUAUAAAUUUUUGGCUUUGUCUUAAUUGUAGAAUGCCCCACUCCCGGGCAGCCUUUUGCAAGUAAAUGCACCUUGGUGGGAACUGGAAACCUGUCAAAUGCCUAUCCAAUGUCGGAGAGGGGGACAGGCAGGCAGAAGAGCCCUUUUGGAAUUAACAGAGCCAUUAAAAUAUUUAUGUACAUGGGGUCCAGAGCCUUAAAUUUUCAAAAUGAGAGGUGAUCAUUACAUAGCAGUGAGGUAUGAUCUGUGAUAAGUGCUUAUCCCACAAAUACUCUCAUUUAUCAUAUUUGCUAGGAUCUCAACUCUGAAAAUGGUUAAAUACUGCGACAAUGGACAGCCUUGUGUGACUCCUCUAAACAAGGAGAAAAACUCCAUAGUGAAGCUGUUAUCUGUGAUUUAGUGUAGAAGAAUUCUUGCAGCCACCUCUUCAAGCUUGGUGGCUUCACAAAAAGAAUACAGCUUACAGUCAGCUUAAUUUUUGAUGACUGGCGUGAUUGUGCUCAUUCAAAUCUCAGGUUCUACCAGCACAGAAGGUGACGCAGAAAGUUAACAU
Orbicella faveolata is the source of this 1162-nucleotide long non-coding RNA. The record is from RefSeq and is a predicted model, not a curated record. NCBI's taxonomy places the organism in Eukaryota, Metazoa, Cnidaria, Anthozoa, Scleractinia, Merulinidae.